RNAcentral lists this ribosomal RNA (301 nucleotides) under uncultured bacterium. Its description in RNAcentral is "partial 16S ribosomal RNA". It matches the Rfam family "Bacterial small subunit ribosomal RNA", at positions 509 to 807 of the family's 1533-position model. The record is from RNAcentral.
CAGCAGCCACGGUAAUACGAAGGGUGCAAGCGUUACUCGGAAUUACUGGGCGUAAAGCGUGCGUAGGUGGUGGUUUAAGUCCGUUGUGAAAGCCCUGGGCUCAACCUGGGAAUUGCAGUGGAUACUGGAUCACUAGAGUGUGGUAGAGGAUAGUGGAAUUUCCGGUGUAGCAGUGAAAUGCGUAGAGAUCGGAAGGAACAUCUGUGGCGAAGGCGACUAUCUGGGCCAACACUGACGCUGAGGCACGAAAGCGUGGGGAGCAAACAGGAUUAGAUACCCCAGUAGUCCCUGUCUCUUAUAC